CCUACGGGAGGCUGCAGUGAGGAAUAUUGGUCAAUGGGCGCGAGCCUGAACCAGCCAAGUAGCGUGAAGGAAGAAGGCCCUACGGUUUGUAAACUUCUUUUAUAAAGGAAUAAAGUGAGGCACGUGUGCCUUUUUGCAUGUACUUUAUGAAUAAGCAUCGGCUAACUCCGUGUCAGCAGCCGCGGUAAUACGGAGGAUCCGAGCGUUAUCCGGAUUUAUUGGGUUUAAAGGGAGCGUAGAUGGGUUGUUAAGUCAGCUGUGAAAGUUUGUGGCUCAACCGUAAAAUUGCAAUUGAUACUGGCAGUCUUGAGUACAGUUGAGGUAGGCGGAAUUCGUGGUGUAGCGGUGAAAUGCGUAGAUAUCACGAAGAACUCCGAUUGCGAAGGCAGCUUACUAAACUGCCACUGACAUUGAUGCUCGAAAGCGUGGGUAUCAAACAGGAUUAGAUACCCUUGUAGUC
Molecule: ribosomal RNA, 460 nt
Filed under: uncultured bacterium
Lineage: Bacteria
Description: partial 16S ribosomal RNA
Rfam family: Bacterial small subunit ribosomal RNA
Source: RNAcentral